RNAcentral lists this ribosomal RNA (823 nucleotides) under uncultured Bacteroidota bacterium. Its description in RNAcentral is "bacterial SSU rRNA". It matches the Rfam family "Bacterial small subunit ribosomal RNA", at positions 61 to 890 of the family's 1533-position model. Lineage: Bacteria; Pseudomonadati; Bacteroidota. The record is from RNAcentral.
GUCGAGGGGUAUAGUUCUUCGGAGCUAGAGACCGGCGCACGGGUGCGUAACGCGUAUGCAAUCUACCUUUCACAGAGGGAUAGCCCAGCGAAAUUUGGAUUAAUACCUCAUAGUAUAAUGAGUUGGCAUCAACACAUUAUUAAAGUCACAACGGUGAAAGAUGAGCAUGCGUCCCAUUAGCUUGUUGGUAAGGUAACGGCUUACCAAGGCUACGAUGGGUAGGGGUCCUGAGAGGGAGAUCCCCCACACUGGUACUGAGACACGGACCAGACUCCUACGGGAGGCAGCAGUGAGGAAUAUUGGACAAUGGGCGCAAGCCUGAUCCAGCCAUGCCGCGUGCAGGAUGACGGUCCUAUGGAUUGUAAACUGCUUUUGCACAGGAAGAAACAACGCUACGUGUAGCGUCUUGACGGUACUGUGAGAAUAAGGAUCGGCUAACUCCGUGCCAGCAGCCGCGGUAAUACGGAGGAUCCAAGCGUUAUCCGGAAUCAUUGGGUUUAAAGGGUCCGUAGGCGGUUUAGUAAGUCAGUGGUGAAAGCCCAUCGCUCAACGGUGGAACGGCCAUUGAUACUGUUAGACUUGAAUUAUUAGGAAGUAACUAGAAUAUGUAGUGUAGCGGUGAAAUGCUUAGAGAUUACAUGGAAUACCAAUUGCGAAGGCAGGUUACUACUAAUGGAUUGACGCUGAUGGACGAAAGCGUGGGUAGCGAACAGGAUUAGAUACCCUGGUAGUCCACGCCGUAAACGAUGGAUACUAGCUGUUGGAAGCAAUUUCAGUGGCUAAGCGAAAGUGAUAAGUAUCCCACCUGGGGAGUACGUUCGCA